GCUCCUCCCACCAGCCUCCACUGCUGUGUAGUAAUCCAUUAGGUGUGUACUCUGCUAUCAGUCUAUAGCUCCUCCCACCAGCCUCCACUGCUGUGUAGUAAUCCAUUAGGUGUGUACUCUGCUAUCAGUCUAUAGCUCCUCCCACCAGCCUCCACUGCUGUGUAGUAAUCCAUUAGGUGUGUACUCUGCUAUCAGUCUAUAGCUCCUCCCACCAGCCUCCACUGCUGUGUAGUAAUCCAUUAGGUGUGUACUCUGCUAUCAGUCUAUAGCUCCUCCCACCAGCCUCCACUGCUGUGUAGUAAUCCAUUAGGUGUGUACUCUGCUAUCAGUCUAUAGCUCCUCCCACCAGCCUCCACUGCUGUGUAGUCAUCCAUUAGGUGUGUACUCUGCUAUCAGUCUAUAGCUCCUCCCACCAGCCUCCACUGCUGUGUAGUAAUCCAUUAGGUGUGUACUCUGCUAUCAGUCUAUAGCUCCUCCCACCAGCCUCCACUGCUGUGUAGUAAUCCAUUAGGUGUGUACUCUGCUAUCAGUCUAUAGCUCCUCCCACCAGCCUCCACUGCUGUGUAGUCAUCCAUUAGGUGUGUACUCUGCUAUCAGUCUAUAGCUCCUCCCACCAGCCUCCACUGCUGUGUAGUAAUCCAUUAGGUGUGUACUCUGCUAUCAGUCUAUAGCUCCUCCCACCAGCCUCCACUGCUGUGUAGUAAUCCAUUAGGUGUGUACUCUGCUAUCAGUCUAUAGCUCCUCCCACCAGCCUCCACUGCUGUGUAGUAAUCCAUUAGGCGUGUACUCUGCUAUCAGUCUAUAGCUCCUCCCACCAGCCUCCACUGCUGUGUAGUAAUCCAUUAGGUGUGUACUCUGCUAUCAGUCUAUAGCUCCUCCCACCAGCCUCCACUGCUGUGUAGUAAUCCAUUAGGCGUGUACUCUGCUAUCAGUCUAUAGCUCCUCCCACCAGCCUCCACUGCUGUGUAGUAA
Molecule: long non-coding RNA, 972 nt
Organism: Oncorhynchus keta (chum salmon)
Lineage: Eukaryota; Metazoa; Chordata; Actinopteri; Salmoniformes; Salmonidae
Exons: 7
Source: RefSeq, a predicted model, not a curated record